This 551-nucleotide ribosomal RNA is filed under the name uncultured Sediminibacterium sp. Its description in RNAcentral is "bacterial SSU rRNA". It matches the Rfam family "Bacterial small subunit ribosomal RNA", at positions 357 to 908 of the family's 1533-position model. The record is from RNAcentral. Lineage: Bacteria; Pseudomonadati; Bacteroidota; Chitinophagia; Chitinophagales; Chitinophagaceae.
AGGAAUAUUGGUCAAUGGACGCAAGUCUGAACCAGCCAUGCCGCGUGAAGGAUGAAGGUCCUCUGGAUUGUAAACUUCUUUUAUAGGGGGCGAAAAAAGGUUUUUCUAAAUCACUUGACAGUACCCUAUGAAUAAGCACCGGCUAACUCCGUGCCAGCAGCCGCGGUAAUACGGAGGGUGCAAGCGUUAUCCGGAUUCACUGGGUUUAAAAGGUGCGUAGGCGGGUAGGUAAGUCAGAGAUGAAAUCCUGGAGCUUAACUCCAGAACUGCCUUUGAUACUAUCUAUCUUGAAUAUGGUGGAGGUAAGCGGAAUAUGUCAUGUAGCGGUGAAAUGCAUAGAUAUGACAUAGAACACCUAUUGCGAAGGCAGCUUACUACGCCUAUAUUGACGCUGAGGCACGAAAGCGUGGGGAUCAAACAGGAUUAGAUACCCUGGUAGUCCACGCCCUAAACGAUGAUUACUCGACGUAUGCGAUACACAGUAUGCGUCUGAGCGAAAGCAUUAAGUAAUCCACCUGGGAAGUACGACCGCAAGGUUGAAACUCAAAGGA